GACGAACCGUGCGAACGUUAUUCGGAAUCACUGGGCUUAAAGCGCGUGUAGGCGGGGCGGAUCGUCGGAUGCUGAAAGCCCCCGGCUCAACCGGGGAAGUGGCACCGAUACGACCGCCCUCGAGGGACGUAGGGGGACCUGGAACUUCCGGUGGAGCGGUGAAAUGCGUUGAGAUCGGAAGGAACGCCCGUGGCGAAAGCGAGGUCCUGGACGUUUUCUGACGCUGAGACGCGAAAGCCAGGGGAGCGAACGGG
This 254-nucleotide ribosomal RNA is filed under the name uncultured bacterium. Its description in RNAcentral is "partial 16S ribosomal RNA". It matches the Rfam family "Bacterial small subunit ribosomal RNA", at positions 524 to 776 of the family's 1533-position model. The record is from RNAcentral.